This 119-nucleotide ribosomal RNA is filed under the name Octopus. RNAcentral also lists the same sequence under 2 other names. Lineage: Eukaryota; Metazoa; Mollusca; Cephalopoda; Octopoda; Octopodidae. The record is from RNAcentral.
GCUUACGGCCUUAUCACGUUGAAAGCACCGGUUCUCGUCCGAUCACCGAAGUUAAGCAACGUAGACCCUAGUUAGUACUUAGAUGGGUGACCGCUUGGGAAACCUAGGUGCUGUAAGUU